Gambusia affinis (western mosquitofish) is the source of this 2097-nucleotide long non-coding RNA. RefSeq lists it as uncharacterized. Lineage: Eukaryota; Metazoa; Chordata; Actinopteri; Cyprinodontiformes; Poeciliidae. The record is from RefSeq and is a predicted model, not a curated record. The transcript is spliced from 5 exons.
AGAAAUCUUUGUUCCACUAUAUUUGUAGUUUUAGGGAUAAAAGGAACUUGUUAUUUACUUCCUUGACAAAUUAAAAUAAUGUUUCACUGGUUUUGGUUUCACUUUUAGGGGUUAUCAUAAAUGUCAAAACAGGCAUUUUCAUGUUUUUAACUCCCUGAAUGAAUUUAUUUAAAGCUUGAACUGUAUUUUUGCAUAUAUUACAUCAAUAUUUACUACAAAAGCCUGAUAUACACAUCUUUUUACACAUCUUUAUCAGAGUGCAGCUAAUGGUGGCGCACACCUUAUAAUCACCAUCUAUGGAGAGUCUCUUCUUUCUGAAAUCUGAAAUUGAAAGUAUUCCAAAAAGACACAAAUCAAUAUUCUUUCAUGGCCGUCUCAGACCAAACUCCUACAGAAAACCUGUAGGACGACCCAGAACCCAGCAAGAUCCAGACCAGGAAUUGACCGGCAACUGAUUUCUGAAUUGAUCCUGUUUGGCAAAGAAGUUGUUUCUUGAUCCUGUUUGGCAAAGAAGUUGUUUCUUGAUCCUGUUUGGCAAAGAAGUUGUUUCUCCAGCCAUUUUUAUUCAUGCAUUAGUUACCCUGCUCUUGGCGUUGGUGGUUACCAUAGCUACCGGUAACCGACAGCUCCGCCCCCUUUUUCUGUUACCGUUCUGUAACUGGCAUUUAUUAGGAUCUGCUCCAUGUUUUCUUUUGAUUAAAGCUGCUGAACUGAUGUUAAUCAUCAACUGGAUUCCCUCCUUUGUUAGUGAUAAGCGUGAAGCAGACACACUUAAGAGAUGUUGAGCAGAAUUGAGUCUGCCAAUCACAAACAGGAGGACAAUCUUGUGGGGCAUGUAAGCCCUCUUAAACAAAUUAAUGGCUUUUCAUGGUGAUCAGCGCGACGGUAGCUGAUUCCCUGAUGCCAGCCCAUCAAAUCCUCACUCAUCCAUGCUAUUCCCAGUUCUCCAAGGCGCUUUGCUGCUCUGUCUCUUCAGACAAAGGAGGCGAUGUAAAUGUAGAGGAUCCAGCAGCUUGAAUAUAUUUGCCAUGAAACAGAAGGAACAAAAUGUAACUGGAAAGCGGGAAAUGGAUUGAGAGAAAGUUUGGAACAGGCACAGAGGAUGUGAAGUAGCCCUAAUUAAUUCAACUUAAGAGUCUGUGAUGCUUGAAUGACUUCCUGUUCCAGCUGCUGCUUCUGGCUGGAUCACAGAUGAACUCGCAUUUAAUAACAGGGUGGAAACUUAUCUCAUCAGCUCAGGAGAACGACGGGAUUGUCACGGUCUUUUGGAGCUGCAGGGAGUGUGAGCAGAGUUUCUGCGUGCACACAUGAAGGUUUUCACAAACCGUGCUGCUUCUUCUUCUUCUCCUGUCAGCACAGGCGCAUAAUAAACAACAUCUUUCCCACCCAGGUGUUUUCAGACAUCUGCGAGCUGUGACUCCUCUCCUCCCACACACUCCCACUGUUUCGCUGCAGGCACAGCCGAAUCAAUACGUCAUUAGCCAGUCUCUCUGCUCACCCCGUGGUCUACAUCCCUCUCCACUCUUACUCCAUUCUACAUCGCAGUUCACACUAUUUCACGCUGCUUUUCCCCUCCCUUCACUGCUCCUCUCAUCGUCCGCCGACCCCCUCUUUUUCACUCUCCAGCCUGGCUUCUGGCCUAUUGUGUGCUUCUGUGCAAUGCUGAUGUGGAAGGGAGAGCGAGGAAAGAGGGAUAAGGAUGAUAGAAGGGGGUUAAAGGUGUAAGAGAGGGAUUUGAGCCAGAAGUAUGAAGGAGGGGGAGGCGGUUGAGGGCGAGAUGUGAGAGUGAAAUGAUUGUUGUAGUGGCUGGAUCCCUGAAGGAGUGAGUGGUGGCAGGAACGACAGCCCCAUUACUUCCUGGUCGCAGUGGCAGCUUCUUGGGGCUGUUGGGUAAACAGAGAGGCUGUAAAGGCGUCCACACGGCCAGGUAGCGACAUCACUCACCGGGAGCAGUCAAACGAGUUAAUGAGCAUCGGCGAGACAGGCCGGCCCCAGGCCAGCUACAAUAAUAUUGAAUGUUUUAGUAAUGGAGGGCUGAAGGAAGCAUAAGCCAGUAAAUAAAGAAUUCAAGAAUACAUAUGCAUGCGUUAAUGUCAA